This 427-nucleotide ribosomal RNA is filed under the name uncultured prokaryote. Its description in RNAcentral is "bacterial SSU rRNA". It matches the Rfam family "Bacterial small subunit ribosomal RNA", at positions 355 to 774 of the family's 1533-position model. The record is from RNAcentral.
UGGGGAAUUUUGGACAAUGGGCGCAAGCCUGAUCCAGCCAUGCCGCGUGAGUGAAGAAGGCCUUCGGGUUGUAAAGCUCUUUCGGCGGGGAAGAAAUAGCGUGGGUUAAUACCCUGCGUUGAUGACGGUACCCGCAUAAGAAGCACCGGCUAACUACGUGCCAGCAGCCGCGGUAAUACGUAGGGUGCGAGCGUUAAUCGGAAUUACUGGGCGUAAAGCGUGCGCAGGCGGUUAUAUAAGUCAGAUGUGAAAUCCCCGGGCUCAACCUGGGAACUGCAUUUGAGACUGUAUGACUAGAGUGUGGCAGAGGGGGGUGGAAUUCCACGUGUAGCAGUGAAAUGCGUAGAGAUGUGGAGGAACACCGAUGGCGAAGGCAGCCCCCUGGGCCAAUACUGACGCUCAUGCACGAAAGCGUGGGGAGCAAACA